CUUACAUCUAGUUUGGUACUUGUGUGGAGAAGGGUCCUGGUCGAGUAACCUGCCCACAGCCUUCCCUGGAAACUGAGUGUGAUCUUCUUACUCCCACACUGUCUGGAGGGCUCCACUCCUGAGGGAUGCUCAGCCUGGAUUGGAGAAUGGAAUUUUGUUAGCACUGCAGUAUCAGUGAAGAGUUCCCACAGCCAUUAGACCAGCACAGUUGAAAGUCUUCCACACAGGUCUUGAUAUUUGUAGCACUUUGGCCAGGCAAAGGAAGGAGCAGGCACCAGUACCAACACACGAAUUAGAUACCACACAGCUCAACUUCCUUCCUUCUGCCCCAGUGAGAUAUGGAACUUCCUGGAGAAACGGAAAUUCUCUUUCUGUACUGGAAUCCAUC
Molecule: long non-coding RNA, 388 nt
Filed under: Cricetulus griseus (Chinese hamster)
Lineage: Eukaryota; Metazoa; Chordata; Mammalia; Rodentia; Cricetidae
Description: lncRNA (ENSCGRG00000024716.1)
Source: RNAcentral